CCUACGGGAGGCAGCAGUGAGGAAUAUUGGUCAAUGGUCGGGAGACUGAACCAGCCAAGCCGCGUGAGGGAUGAAGGUACAGAGUAUCGUAAACCUCUUUUGUCAGGGAACAAAGGCGGGGACGUGUCCCCGGAUGAGUGUACCUGAAGAAAAAGCAUCGGCUAACUCCGUGCCAGCAGCCGCGGUAAUACGGAGGAUGCGAGCGUUAUCCGGAUUUAUUGGGUUUAAAGGGAGCGGAGGCGGGUUGUUAAGUCAGUGGUGAAAGCCCGGGGGUCAACCCCGGACACGCCGUUGAAACUGGCAGUCUCGAGUUGGAGAGAAGUAUGCGGAAUGCGCGGUGUAGCGGUGAAAUGCAUAGAUAUCGCGCAGAACUCCGAUUGCGAAGGCAGCAUGCCGGCUCCACACUGACGCUGAGGCACGAAAGCGUGGGUAUCGAACAGGAUUAGAUACCCUAGUAGUC
This 460-nucleotide ribosomal RNA is filed under the name uncultured bacterium. RNAcentral describes it as "partial 16S ribosomal RNA". It matches the Rfam family "Bacterial small subunit ribosomal RNA", at positions 338 to 795 of the family's 1533-position model. The record is from RNAcentral.